Varanus komodoensis (Komodo dragon) is the source of this 223-nucleotide long non-coding RNA. RefSeq lists it as uncharacterized. Lineage: Eukaryota; Metazoa; Chordata; Lepidosauria; Squamata; Varanidae. The record is from RefSeq and is a predicted model, not a curated record. The transcript has 3 exons.
UCAUGCCUUACUAGCCAGCAUCCCUCGCUAGCCUCAGUUCUUUCCUGGCUUUAGCCUUCCUGAUGCCUUCCCUGCAAUUCCAUGCUACCUGCCUGUAUUCUUCCUUUGGAGCCUGGUCCUCCUAUUUCCUGUGCAUGUCCUUUUUGUUUUCAGAUCAUCUCUUAGCUUUUUGUGAAGCCACCUGGGCUUCCUUUGUUGUUUUCUACAAUUCUUCCCUGUUGGA